CUAAGCGGGAGUACGCCAGCCGGUGGAUGCCUCGGCUUGGGCGCCGACGAAGGACGUGGCAAGCUGCGAUAAGCCCCGGGUAGCCGCAGGCGGGCGUUGAUCCGGGGAUCUCCUAAUGGGAUUUCCUGCGGGGGCUUCGGCCUCCGCGUUCCCGGGCCUCAAGCCUGGGAUCGGGAACCCCCCGAACGGAAGCAUCCAAGUAGGGGGAGGAAAAGAAAUCAAAACGAGAUUCCCUCAGUAGGGGCGACCGAAAGGGGAGCAGCCCAAACCGAACCCCCAUGGGUAACCGUGGGGGAAUGUGGGGUUAUCGGGGCCGCGGGUCCAUCCUGAAGGCCGAGCCGAAGUCCCCUGGAAUGGGGCGCCAUAGAGGGUGAUAGCCCCGUAGGCGAAGGCUGGAGGGAUGAUGCCGCGUGUCCCAGAGUACCGCACCUCGGAUAUGGUGCGGGAAGUCGGGGGCCACUGGCCUCCAAGGCUAAAUACGUCCCAAGACCGAUAGUGGACCAGUAGCGUGAGCGAAAGGUGAAAAGUACCCCGAGAGGGGGGUGAAAAGCGCCUGAAACCGGCUGGUAACAGACGAGCGCGGCCCGGAAGGGCUUCCCCGCGAAGCCUCCGAGAGGGGGCGAGGUGGGGAGAUCCCAGGGUCGCGCGCUCCGUCUUGAAUCACGGGCCGGGGAGUUCACGGGUGUGGCGAGCCUAAGGGCUGGAAGCCCGGAGGCGUGGGGAAACCGACAUGCCCGCAGCCGGAGUCUGCUCCGGUGAGGGGCGGGGUCCGAAAGGGCCUGUAGUCACGCCCGUGAGGCUAGAAACCGGGCGAUCUAGCCCUGGGCAGGGCGAAGCCAGGGGAAACCCUGGUGGAGGCCCGAAUAGGGGUCUUGAUGUGCAAAUCGGUCCCCUGACCUGGGGCUAGGGGUUAAAAGCCAAUCGAGCCCGGUGAUAGCUAGUUCCCCCCGAAGUGUCUCGCAGGACAGCCUCGGGGGAGGCUGCCCACGGGGUAGAGCACCGAUGGGGGAGCAAGGGGCCGAUGAGGCUCCACUCUCCUUUCGAACUCCGAAUCCGUGGGCGCCGUAGAUCCCGGGAGUGGGGUACCGGGGGUAAGCUCCGGGACCGAGAGGGGAACAACCCAGACCGCGGGUUAAGGCCCCUAAGUGCCCGCUAAGUGACAAACCAAAGGGCGUCCCCGUCCUGAGACAGCGGGGCCGUAGGCUUAGAAGCAGCCAUCGGCUAAGAAGUGCGUAACAGCUUACCCGCCGAGGACGGGGGCCCCGAAAAUUGACGGGUCUAAGCGGGCCGCCGAAACCCGGGCUCACCCACGCUAGGCGUGGGUGGGGGUAGGGGGGCGUGGCGGUUGGGUAGAAGCAGGGCCGUGAGGUCCUGUGGACCGGCCGCCAAUGUAGAUCCCGGUGGUAGUAGACAGCGAAGCGGGGUGGGAAUCCCCGCCGCCGGAAGGGCACGGGUUUCCCGGCAAUGCGUCGUCAGCCGGGAGUAAGCCGGUCCUAAGGCCGACCUUAACCGGGUAGGCCGAAGGGGAAACCGGUUAAGAUUCCGGUGCCUCCUGGAUAGGUGCGGCGACGCAAGCCAGGCUCCUGACGCCUCGGGUAGGGCCGAGCAGGGCUGUAGCUCUGUCUAACCCUCGAAGCCUGGGGAGGGCCGUAAUGGCGAGAACCAGGUGAAUGGGGGGACGGGGCGGCCGUAAGGCCGCUUCGGCCUGCUCCCGGGGCCAGUGAAAAGGGAGCCUGGAACGAUUCCAGGAGACCGUACCUAGAUCCGACACAGGUGCCCCUGGCUGAGAAGGCCAAGGCGUCUGGGGUUACUCCGGGCUAGGGAACUCGGCAAAUUAGCCCCGUAACCUCGGGAGAAGGGGUGCCUGCCUUCCUGCCCGGUGAGGGUGGGUUGGCAGGUCGCAGUGACAAGGGGGUCCCGACUGUUUAAUAAAAACAUAGGGAGCCGCCAGGCCGAAAGGCUUUGAACGGCUCCUCAAUCCUGGCCAGCACCGGUACCUGAACCCCGGGUCCAACCGGGAUAAGGGCCGGUCAACGCCGGGGGUAACUCUGACCCUCUUAACGGGGACCUGCCCACCAUCAAUGCAUAAAUUCCUGGCCAUCAGUCGAUGGUCAGGCUAUGAAUAUUAUGAAUUCGAUAAAGGCUACGUUAGCGGCGUAAUUGAUGCGGAAGCCAGCUUUUCAGUAAGCGUCAAAGUUCAGCGUGAUCUACUAUGCAAAGUGCGCGUCGACCCUGUUUUCAGCAUGACGGAGAGAAAAAGAGAGGUGCUAGAAAUUGUUCAGAGAGUUCUUCGAUGUGGUAGGAUAAUUCAAAAACCUGGACAAAGGCACCUUUGGAUGCUCGUUGUAGACGAUUUAGAUGAACUCUCUCGAAAAUUAAUCCCAGCACUAGACGAGCUUAAGCUGGUUGCGAAGAAAUCAUCGUGCGACUACUUCCGUGAGAUUGUUCUUAAACUUGCCGAGAAGAAAUACUCGCUGACCUGUGAUGAGAUCCGAGAACUGGUGAUAAUGGCUUACAAGCUUUCGGAUCUAAAUUUGAAAUCCUCUCGUAAGAGGUCAAUUAUUGAAGUUCUUUCCUUAAUCCCUGUUUCUGAUGAUUACAAGGUGGGUUAGGCCCCGGGAGAAAGGUAGCCAAAUGCCUUGUCGGGUGAGUUCCGACGUGCAUGAAUGGAUCAACGAGGGCCCCACUGUCCCGGCCCGGAGCCCCGUGAACCCACAUAACGUGGGCGAACAGUCCACGAACCCCCAGUGGGGAGAGAAGACCCUGUGGAGCUUUACUGCAGCCAGUUGCUGCGGAGCGGCUUGGGAUGCAUAGCGUAGCCGGGAGCCGUCGAUCCCAGCCUCUUCGGGGGCUGGGGGAGGCGCCAAUGUAACACCGGCCAUCCCGGGCUGCCCCGCUAACCAGGGCCUGACCCUGGGACAACGGCUGGUGGGCAGUUUGGCUGGGGCGGCACUCCUCCGAAAAGAUAUCGGAGGAGCCCAAAGGUCGGCUCAGGCGGGACAGAAACCCGCUGUAGAGUGCAAGGGCAAAAGCCGGCCUGACAGGACCCUCGAACGCAAGGGGUCCUGAGGGGAAACCCGGGCCUAGCGAUCCAUCGGCCCCUACCAGUGGGGGCCGGUGGUGACAGAAAAGUUACCCCAGGGAUAACAGGCUCGUCGCGGGCGAGAGUCCCCAUCGACCCCGCGGCUUGGUACCUCGAUGUCGGCUCUUCCCCUCCUGGCCUCGCAGCAGGGGCCAAGGGUGAGGCUGCUCGCCUAUUAAAGGGGAACGUGAGCUGGGUUUAGACCGUCGUGAGACAGAUCGGUUUCUACCUACUGGGGGUGCGGGCCGCCUGAGGGUAGGGUCCUCCUAGUACGAGAGGAACGGAGGGCCGGGGCCAACGGUGUACCGGUCGUCCUACAGGGCGACGCCGGGUAGCCGCGCCCUUGAGGAUAAGGGCUGAAAGCAUCUAAGCCCGAAGCCUCUCCCAAAAAUAGGCGGCCGAUCGGGGCCUAUAGGGCUCGGCAACGGGCCUUGGGCUCCGACGAGGGCUCCCCUAGAAGAGGGGGUUGAUGGGGUGGGCGUGUAAGGGUGGAGGCUUAGGCCGGACACCCUCAGCGCACCACUCCCAAUCGCCCGAGCCGCUUAGGAA
RNAcentral lists this ribosomal RNA (3631 nucleotides) under Candidatus Calditenuaceae archaeon SCGC AAA471-E14. Its description in RNAcentral is "bacterial LSU rRNA". It matches the Rfam family "Archaeal large subunit ribosomal RNA". RNAcentral also lists the same sequence under 1 other name. The record is from RNAcentral. Lineage: Archaea; Thermoproteati; Nitrososphaerota; Candidatus Caldarchaeales; Candidatus Calditenuaceae.